This 176-nucleotide ribosomal RNA is filed under the name Ligilactobacillus salivarius. Its description in RNAcentral is "partial 23S ribosomal RNA". It matches the Rfam family "Bacterial large subunit ribosomal RNA", at positions 2749 to 2925 of the family's 2925-position model. The record is from RNAcentral. Lineage: Bacteria; Bacillati; Bacillota; Bacilli; Lactobacillales; Lactobacillaceae.
CUAUGUAUGGAAGGGAUAAGCGCUGAAAGCAUCUAAGUGCGAAGCCCCCCUCAAGAUGAGAUUUCCGAUGCGCAAGCAGUAAGACACCUUAAAGACGAUGAGGUAGAUAGGCUAGGAGUGGAAGCAUAGCGAUAUGUGGAGCGGACUAGUACUAAUCAGUCGAGCACUUGACCAAA